This 653-nucleotide ribosomal RNA is filed under the name uncultured fungus. Its description in RNAcentral is "SSU rRNA". It matches the Rfam family "Eukaryotic small subunit ribosomal RNA", at positions 373 to 1031 of the family's 1831-position model. The record is from RNAcentral. Lineage: Eukaryota; Fungi.
GGGCACGACACCGGAGAGGGAGCCUGAGAAACGGCUACCACAUCCAAGGAUGGCAGCAGGCGCGCAAAUUACCCAAUCCCGACACGGGGAGGUAGUGACAAUAAAUAACAAUACGGGGUCCUUUGGGUCUCGUAAUUGGAAUGAGUACAAUUUAAAUCUCUUAACGAGGAACAAUUGGAGGGCAAGUCUGGUGCCAGCAGCCGCGGUAAUUCCAGCUCCAAUAGCGUAUAUUAAAGUUGUUGCAGUUAAAAAGCUCGUAGUUGAAUUUCGGGAUCAGUAGGUUGGUCGUGCCACUGGUAUGUACUGGUCUUACUGAUUCCUCCUUCUUGUGGAACUGUAAUGUCAUUAAUUUGGUGUUGCAGGAAAACAGGACUGUUACUUUGAAAAAAUUAGAGUGUUUAAAGCAAGCUAACGCUUGAAUACAUUAGCAUGGAAUAAUGAAAUAGGACGUUUGAUCCUAUUUUGUUGGUUUCUAGGAUUGACGUAAUGAUUAAUAGGGAUAGUUGGGGGCAUUAGUAUUCAAUUGUCAGAGGUGAAAUUCUUGGAUUUAUUGAAGACUAACUACUGCGAAAGCAUUUGCCAAGGAUGUUUUCAUUAAUCAAGAACGAAAGUUAGGGGAUCGAAGACGAUCAGAUACCGUCGUAGUCUUAACC